GCGGACGGGGUGAGAACACGUGGUAACCUGCCCAAGAGACUGGGAUAACACCUGGAACAGAUGCUAAUACCGGAUAACCACACUAGACGCAUGUCUAGAGUUUAAAAGAUGGUUCUGCUAUCACUCUUGGAUGGACCUGCGGUGCAUUAGCUAGUUGGUAAGGUAACGGCUUACCAAGGCAAUGAUGCAUAGCCGAGUUGAGAGACUGAUCGGCCACAUUGGGACUGAGACACGGCCCAAACUCCUACGGGAGGCAGCAGUAGGGAAUCUUCCACAAUGGACGCAAGUCUGAUGGAGCAACGCCGCGUGAGUGAAGAAGGGUUUCGGCUCGUAAAGCUCUGUUGGUAGUGAAGAAAGAUAGAGGUAGUAACUGGCCUUUAUUUGACGGUAAUUACUUAGAAAGUCACGGCUAACUACGUGCCAGCAGCCGCGGUAAUACGUAGGUGGCAAGCGUUGUCCGGAUUUAUUGGGCGUAAAGCGAGUGCAGGCGGUUCAAUAAGUCUGAUGUGAAAGCCUUCGGCUCAACCGGAGAAUUGCAUCAGAAACUGUUGAACUUGAGUGCAGAAGAGGAGAGUGGAACUCCAUGUGUAGCGGUGGAAUGCGUAGAUAUAUGGAAGAACACCAGUGGCGAAGG
RNAcentral lists this ribosomal RNA (634 nucleotides) under uncultured Bacilli bacterium. RNAcentral describes it as "bacterial SSU rRNA". It matches the Rfam family "Bacterial small subunit ribosomal RNA", at positions 98 to 721 of the family's 1533-position model. Lineage: Bacteria; Bacillati; Bacillota; Bacilli. The record is from RNAcentral.